Molecule: ribosomal RNA, 253 nt
Filed under: uncultured bacterium
Lineage: Bacteria
Description: partial 16S ribosomal RNA
Rfam family: Bacterial small subunit ribosomal RNA
Source: RNAcentral
UCCGUAGGGGGCAAGCGUUGUUCGGAAUUACUGGGCGUAAAGGGCGCGUAGGCGGCCGAAUAAGUCUGACGUGAAAUCCCACGGCCCAACCGUGGAACUGCGUUUGAUACUGUUCGGCUCGAGUCCGGGAGAGGGUAGCGGAAUUCCCAGUGUAGCGGUGAAAUGCGUAGAUAUUGGGAGGAACACCGGUGGCGAAGGCGGCUACCUGGACCGGUACUGACGCUGAGGAGCGAAAGCGUGGGGAGCGAACAGG